Non-coding RNA from Ictidomys tridecemlineatus (thirteen-lined ground squirrel), 724 nucleotides. The record is from RefSeq and is a predicted model, not a curated record. Lineage: Eukaryota; Metazoa; Chordata; Mammalia; Rodentia; Sciuridae.
CUCAGUGCCAGCCAGCUUCAGCUGCAUCUGGUGCCAGUAGUAUUCCAUGUAGGAUAUUAGUGAGAUGGCCAAUCACCGGGCCCUACCUUUCCUCUUAGGACCCAGGUAAGAGCCUUCUGAAAUCUCCUAAGAGCCAACUUGCAAAGUUCCCUCUGGAGCUCAUUAGAAGGAAAGGAAACUUCAUGGUUUUUCUCGGACAGAUUCAGAUCAGCUAAUGAAAAACGGAAGGAAGAGUCAGUCCAGAACAAGAAGCUGUGGAGAUAGAGCAUCCAUCAGGAACCAGUACCUGGUGAUCGCUUGGCUAUUGGAAUCAAUAGCGUGACCAAAGAAAUUCCUGGAAAGUUUUUCAGGAGAAAUCCAAGAAGCUACCUACAGGAGAAGAUUUUGUUUGUGACAAACAGAAAGAGGGCCCUUCACUGACAGACUGCUCAAAGAAAACUCAACAAAAUGCCUGGCCUACCAGGAAGAGGUGGACAGCCAGAGGAAAACUCUGUCCAAGAGCCUGGCCCACCCAGUGCUGCAGAUGACUCAGCCUCGCAGGGCGUCUCAUUCCCGAAGGAGGACCAUGUGAUAAUUGUACCUCGGAUUAUCCUGACUGGUCCUUUGGCUUCAGAUGAAGACUGGAAGCCAGUUCCUCAAGAUCCAGGGGCUUGAGACAGAAGGUGGAGUCAGUGGUGUGUCCUUCUCUGUCUGACUCUUUGAAUAAAGCUUUUCAUUCAUUCUA